AAGUGGCUGGGCCGAUUUGGCCCUUAAUGGGGGGGGUCAGCUGGGAGGGAGGGUCGGCGGCGUCAGCUGCGGGUGCCUUUUAAAAAAUAUUUAAGUGGCCUCCGCUCCGCCCCCGGCCUCCGUCUCUUUUGGCCGAGGCAGCGGCAGAGCCGCUGCCUCGCCCAGUUUAUCCCGGCGCCGGUUUUCCGGCUUCUUCGGGGCGGCCGCUUCUGGCCGCCCAAGAUGGCUGCCGGGUACCGGCGAGCGUGUCUCCCUUGCCCUGUUCUGUGCCUGCGCGAAGCGCAGGCGCAGAACAGGGCAGGGAGGCACGGACACACGCUUGGUGUCCGUCCACGGACAGACACCAAGCGUUUUAUUAGAGAGGAUAUAAAUAUGUGUAAAUAUUGAGCAUACAUAUUUAUUUCACACUGAUUGUCACGAAUGUAAAAGUGAAACUGUGAAAAGUAUAUUCACCAAGUCUUGCUCACACUUCAAAUAAAUGACUUAAAAUAAGAACAUAAGAACAGCCCUGCUGGAUCAGGCCCAAGGCCCAUCUAGUCCAGCAUCCUGUUUCGCACAGUGGCCCACCAGAUGCCAUUGGGAGCCUACAGUCAGGAGUUGAGGGCAUGCCCUCUCACCUGCCAUUACUCCCCUGCAACUGGUACUCAGAGGCACCCUGCCCUUGAGGCAGGAGGUGGCCUACAGCCCUCCGACUAGUAGCCAUAACUAGACUUGACUUGUUCUUUCCCAGCAGAUUUCAGGAAAGAGCCUAAGGAGCAAGGAGAGUGAGGAUAAGACAAGCUGUUUCAAUCUCUUUCGUGAUGAGGCUUCAUCAGAGAACUGAAGAACAUAUACAAAAUAUAAAGAUGUAUACAAAUACUGAGCAUACUUAUUUAUUACAUACUGAUUGUCACCGGAGAAUAUAAAAAUGAAACUCUGAAAAUGUAUUACUCAGGAAAUCUAACAUCCUUCAUAAAUGUCUCAUACUCUAACAUCACGUGGAUUUGCUCACACUUCAAAUAAAUUAUGUAACUUGUGCUUUCCCAAAAGAUUUCAAAAACAGACCAGUGGAGGCGACAAGAGACAAGCCAUGCCAAGCAAAACUGCAUUACCCUUUUAGGUCUUGUUUUCAGAAGAUUAGUCUCAAAACCAGUGGCUGGCUGCUGCAAAUAGAGGCUUCAAGCGUGAGCUGAUUUUAUCCUUGGUCCUGUGAGGUAAGUUAGCCUGGAAUAUUCUGUGCUGGCUUCAAGGGUUCAUGCCUAAAAAAUAAGAAUACGUUUGUUUAAAUUGUUUGUAUCCUGCCUAUUGAAGAGCCUUAAACAACCAUCUCUUCAGCCUGGAUUUUAAUGAUAUCUUGUUUUAAUCUUAAUUUUGAUUAGAUUUAAUCUGGUUUAAAUGUUUUUUGAUUUUAAUUGUUUUAUUCUGUGUUUUUUAUUUUAUUUUAAUGUAAACCAGCCUGAGCCAAUGAAUGAAUGAAUGAAUGAAAUAAUAAAUAUUCAACAAAAUGCUAUUCAGGGCCUCUUACCCUCUCUUAAAUUAAAACAACCCCCCCCCACUAAAUGCAAAACAACAACAAAACCCACUAUUAAAUGCAAGCCCCCACACUACUAAAUUAAAAAAAACACACUACUAAAUGCAACAACCCCCCCAAAGCCCACUACUAAAUGGGGAAAAAAACCACCACUAAAUGCACACACUCCGCUAAUAAAUGCAAAAAAGAUUCACUACUAAAUGCAAUAAAACUGAAGAUAAAAUAGACAAGAAAAAAGAGCAUUCACAACUAAAAACUGAGUAUUCUAAACAGGAGUAAAAAAAAAUAACCACCAUUGGCUCUGUUCACCAGCCAUUCUCAUUGAGCUCUGUUGGUACAUUACUCGUCAGGUUUUUUCACCCGUCAGGCAUCCUUUUUCACUUGUGACAGAUGGGUAGACUAGUGGAUUUUCUGAGCCCUGAUUCUAAACCUGGAUUGGAGAAAAAUGAAAUUUUUCUUGGUGCAGAUCUCCUGACCUAGCUGCUUUGCCAUGUUGACUUGUAUACAGUGCCAUGUGGAUUGUGGAUAAAUCCCUACAAAGGAGGAUAUUGCAAGAAAUCGGAAAUUUAUAAAAGUGGCUACUGUCAGAGAGAGACUUGUGCAGACAGGUUGAAAGUUGCUCUUACAAUAAGUGAUGUAGGGACAUAGGAGCUGAAGUCCUAUGGUCAGGGUGAAGUGCUGGUAACCUCUCCCCUGUAGCCUCCAAAGAAAGAGGAGAACUUUCUGCAACUGGAAGAAAAAAGAUGAAGUCUGAAGAAAAGAUUCACUGUGGAAGGAGCGGUCCGCUUGCCAUGGACUGUGAUGCUUUCUUGCUUCACGUUAUUGAUAGCCAGUUUAGUUUAUUGUUACCUUUAAAUUAUUGUUCUGUGUGUGAGCAUUCUGUGCAUUCAGUAUUUCUGUAAAGCCUUUGUGUAGAACCCGGGUUCUUAUUUUUGUAAUGUAUUUUAAAUGUCUAGAAAAUU
Long non-coding RNA from Hemicordylus capensis (graceful crag lizard), 2472 nucleotides. RefSeq lists it as uncharacterized. The transcript is spliced from 3 exons. NCBI's taxonomy places the organism in Eukaryota, Metazoa, Chordata, Lepidosauria, Squamata, Cordylidae. The record is from RefSeq and is a predicted model, not a curated record.